Long non-coding RNA from Oncorhynchus tshawytscha (Chinook salmon), 719 nucleotides. The record is from Ensembl. Lineage: Eukaryota; Metazoa; Chordata; Actinopteri; Salmoniformes; Salmonidae.
GGCUAGUGGAGAGGUUGAGCGAGGGAAAGGGAGAGGGCUAGUGGAGAGGUUGAGCGAGGGAAAGGGAGAGGGCUAGUGGAGAGGUUGAGCGAGGGAAAGGGAGAGGGCUAGUGGAGAGGUUGAGCGAGGGGAAAGGGGAGAGGGCUAGUGGAGAGGUUGAGCGAGGGAAAGGGAGAGGGCUAUUGGAGAGGUUGAGCGAAGGAGAGAGAGGGCUAGUGGAGAGGUUGAGCGUGGGAGAGAGAGGGCUAGUGGAGAGGUUGAGCGUGGGAGAGAGGGGGCUAUUGAGAGGUUGAGCGUGGGAGAGAGGGGGCUAGUGGAGAGGUUGAGAGUGGGAGAGAGGGGGCUAGUGGAGAGGUUGAGCGUGGGAGAGAGGGCUAGUGGAGAGGUUGAACGACGGAGAGAGGGCUAGUGGAGAGGUUGAGCGAGGGAGAGAGGGCUAGUGGAGAGGUUGAGAGAGGGCAAGUGGAGAGGUUGAGCGAGGGCUAGUGGAGAGGUUGAGCGAGGGAAAGGGAGAGGGCUAGUGGAGAGGUUGAGCGAGGGAAAGGGAGAGGGCUAGUGGAGAGGUUGAGCGAGGGAAAGGGAGAGGGCUAGUGGAGAGGUUGAGCGUGGGAGAGAGAGGGCUAGUGGAGAGGUUGAGCGUGGGAGAGAGGGGGCUAGUGGAGAGGUUGAGCGAGGGAGAGGGAGAGGGCUAGUGGAGAGGUUGAGUGAGGGAGAGAGAG